Molecule: long non-coding RNA, 2180 nt
Organism: Ictalurus punctatus (channel catfish)
Lineage: Eukaryota; Metazoa; Chordata; Actinopteri; Siluriformes; Ictaluridae
Source: Ensembl
AAUGGCAAUGACAACAAUGCUAACACCGUUAUACUCAUUCGCAUUAUCAUUAGAUGAUCAUUUUUCUGUGCAUGGUACUGCUCUCUAUGCCACUCUGGAGGGGUUCCCAUGUGUUUCCUCGUGAUCUGAGCCCUGCCUCAUUCUGUCAAAACAGGUGUCUUGUCUUUCUGUCAUCCAUGGUGAGACUUACAUGCAUUCUGCUUUCCUCUUUACCCCCUGGAGUUUUCCUCUCCCCAAGCUUGAAAUAUUCAUCCGUAAAUCUCAGCGUUCAUCUUCUGAUAAUUCUUUUUAACCUCAGAACAUAGAUCGUGCACACACACAAACACACACACACACAAACACACACCCCACCCUUCUGAACUGUUGUCAGCCUCCUUUUUUACAAGGAAAGAACAUCUAUUUUAAGUGCUGCACCAAAGACCAACCACCCACAGACUGCUAGAGAGAGUAAGAGUGAGAGAGAGAGAGAGAGAGAGAGAGAGAGAGAGAGAGAGAGAGAGAGAGAGAGAGAGAGAGAGUGGGAGAGAAAGGGAAAGAGACAUAGAGAAUGAGAUUGGCAUAGCUCAUCCUGUGGAGCAAAGAUGAUUUGGGUGGGGUAGGGGGUAAGAAGAGAAGAUGUGGAAAUGGUGGUGGAGGUUGUAAGCGAACAGCUCAUCAAAACGCAACAGAAUAGUCAGCACUGCACAGUUUAUCUAACACACACCAUAUACACAGGCAGAUCUGUUGCAGAUACAUCAUCCUGACUUAUGAGCCAGACAGUGUAUCCUGAAACUCCUGCGACACGGAAAAGAGAAAAGAAAUGGAAUUGCCCUGACUUUGCAUCAACUAUUCCCAUCUGAGGGAGUGUGUGUGUUCAGACAUAAAGGGCUGUCUCUGCCCCUAGACAGAUGCCCAGACUGAGUGAUUCAGCACUACUGAAGCACAGCCAAGACCACUCUGUCCUGUGAUGACAAGAGCCAUAACGUCCUGUGAGAUGCUCCUGGACAGAACAAGCAUCUGUCAAAAUAGGCCGGCCUCAGUGGACGCCUCGCUAAUGGCAGCCGAAUCGAGAUAGAGAGGAAACAAGAGGACAAGCAGGAGAUACAGAGGACAAGGAGGAUUCGUUUAGCAUGAAGUUUGUGAUUCUUUUUUUAUUUAUUUUUUGCAUAGAAAUUUGCAAAAAAUGACACGUUCUGAUAAUCGAGAUAGAGAGGAAACAGUCGGACAAGCAGGAGAUACAGAGGACAAGGAGGACUCAUUUUGCAUGAAGUUUUUUUGUUUCUGUUGGGUUUUUUUGCAUAGAAAUUAGGGGAAAAAAAUGACGUCCUGAUAAAAAAAUCAGGAAUGAGAUGCUACGUUUUCUACAAUUAAAAUUAGUUGUAACAUGCAGUUCAUGGAUAGUCAUGGUGGAGUACAUAUACAUGCUGGUGCUGCUGUAAAGGAACUGACCUUAUAGGUAAAAGAAAAAAAAAAUCACAUGUGAUCAAAAAAGAUCACAUGUUAAAAAUAAAAGUUUCAUGUAGGAAAAAAUACUUGUAAAAGUAAAUCAAUCGUGUGAUAUCAUUAACGAAUCACCUGUGGAAAUAAGAGAUUCAUGUAAAAGCAUCCUAUAUUAAAAUAAAUGAAUCAUGGGGGGUGGGGGGUCAUGAAAAUAUCUGAAUCAUGAAAAAAAAAUUAUGUGAAAGUAAAUGAAUCAUAUGCAAAGUGAAAUAAUGUUUAAAUUCAUGUGAAAACAUCACACCAUUAAUGAGUCAAGGGAACAAAUCAAGUAGAAAUGAAUGAAUCAUGUUGACAAAAUACACAUGAAUAAUACUGCAUCAUGUCUAAAAAAAUUCAUAUUUGUAUAAAGGAAUCAUAUGGGGAAUAAAAUCAGACAUAAAUAAAGGAAUCAUUUUGGUGAAUCACAUGUGGAAAUAAAUUAAUCAUUUGGGGGAAUCACAUGUGGAAAUAAAUGAAUCAUUCAGGGGGAAUCAUGUGGAAAUAAAUGAAUCAUUUGGGGUGACUCACAUGUGGAAAUAAAUGAAUCAUUUGGGGGGAAUCACAUGUGGAAAUUAAUGAAUCAUUUGGGGGGAAUCACAUGUGGAAAUAAAUGAAUCAUUUGCGGGAAUCACGUGUAGAAAUAAAUGAAUCAUUAGUGGGGAUUCACAUGUGGAAAUAAAUGAAUCCUGUAAAAAAAAAAACAGUCAAAAUAAAUAAAUCAU